GGUAGAAUGUCCCCAGUGCAUUGUGUGAGCCACCUCCCUUCCAGUACAUCCCCAUCACAUAUUCCCCUGCGUCCCUUGGACUAGGGUGUUCUAUAUUCAAGGUAAGUUUAAUGGGAGUUGACCCUGUGGGUUUACUAAGAGUCAUUCUAGAAAGUAGGGGCUUCCCGUCUUUGUCAAGUCUGUCUAGUGCAACCUGAGGUCUGUAGCCCCAUGGUCUACCUGUAUUCCACC
Molecule: non-coding RNA, 231 nt
Organism: Pelobates cultripes (western spadefoot toad)
Lineage: Eukaryota; Metazoa; Chordata; Amphibia; Anura; Pelobatidae
Source: the annotation of a GenBank genome assembly